This 385-nucleotide ribosomal RNA is filed under the name uncultured bacterium. Its description in RNAcentral is "bacterial SSU rRNA". It matches the Rfam family "Bacterial small subunit ribosomal RNA", at positions 28 to 417 of the family's 1533-position model. The record is from RNAcentral.
GACGAACGCUGGCGGCGUGCUUAACACAUGCAAGUCGAGCGGUAAGGCCCUUCGGGUACACGAGCGGCGAACGGGUGAGUAACACGUGGGUGACCUGCCUCUAGCUCUGGGAUAAGCCUGGGAAACUGGGUCUAAUACCGGAUAUGACUCCACGGCGCAUGUUGUGGGGUGGAAAGCCUUGUGCGGCUAGAGAUGGGCCCCGCGGCCUAUCAGCUUGUUGGUGGGGUGAUGGCCACCAAGGCGACGACGGGUAGCCGGCCUGAGAGGGCGACCGGCCACACUGGGACUGAGACACGGCCCAGACUCCUACGGGAGGCAGCAGUGGGGAAUCUUGCGCAAUGGGCGAAAGCCUGACGCAGCGACGCCGCGUGAGGGAUGACGGCCU